GUGGCGCACGGGUGCGUAACGCGUAUGCAACCUACCUUAAUCAGGAGGAUAGCCCGAAGAAAUUCGGAUUAACACCGCAUAAAAACACAGCAUUCAAAUAUUAGGAUUGAGAUGGGCAUGCGUGUCAUUAGCUAGUUGGCGGGGUAACGGCCACCAAGGCGACGAUGACUAGGGGAUCUGAGAGGAUGACCCCCCACACUGGUACUGAGACACGGACCAGACUCCUACGGGAGGCAGCAGUAAGGAAUAUUGGUCAAUGGAGGGAACUCUGAACCAGCCAUGCCGCGUGCAGGAAGACAGCCCUCGGGUCGUAAACUGCUUUUAUUCGGGAAUAAUGAAUGUACCGAAGGAAUAAGGAUCGGCUAACUCCGUGCCAGCAGCCGCGGUAAUACGGAGGAUCCAAGCGUUAUCCGGAUUUAUUGGGUUUAAAGGGUGCGUAGGCGGCUUAUUAAGUCAGGGGUGAAAGACGGUGGCUCAACCAUCGCAGUGCCCUUGAUAC
RNAcentral lists this ribosomal RNA (499 nucleotides) under uncultured soil bacterium. RNAcentral describes it as "bacterial SSU rRNA". It matches the Rfam family "Bacterial small subunit ribosomal RNA", at positions 95 to 633 of the family's 1533-position model. The record is from RNAcentral.